AGCGUUUCCAAGCCUGUUUCACAUUCUGUAAACGUCAGUUGACUGGGUACUGGAGGAACUCGCAGCACAGGCCAGUUUAGGAUCCUAUGGGAAGACAAGAAUAUGCCAGACCUGGCCCAAGUCCAGGAAGACAGAGGAGCUGGUUGGUAGCCCAAAAGAAAGCCUGCCGCAGGAAUGCAGAGGAAGCAUUGUGAGAUCACCAUCAGCCUGGACAAUGUAAGGCCUUGUCUUAACAUCAAGCAAGCAAAGUAAUACAUGAACAAAAGCACAGGGGAUAAUGAGACUGAACAGAUACCGGAUGCGUGUGUCCUGUUUAUAGGACUACGUGAGAGCAGCCCAAAGAAGAUGAACCCAUAAAUCUUUGAUCUUGAGAUACGAAGUCUACAGAAGCCAAAGGACAUGCUGGUCUUUGCUGGUCCUGGACUGUCCAAUGUGUAAAGAAGAUCUUCCUUGGAGUCUAAAAAGGGUGGAUCAAACUGAAGGGGAGACUGGAGACCAAAAGACGGUUAAACACGAAACAACAUGCUGAGGUCCCCACCUUGCAGAAUCUCUAAGAGACUUUACUGCUCCUUGGUGUCCCCUCCAAGUGCCUACAUCUUCUCCAUGUCUUCUGCCUGCCGAUGGUAUUACACCUGAGCCAUUGCUACUGAAAUUGCCACAGCCUGAAGCCUCAGGAGCCAUCACGAGCUAGACUGGACCACCAAUAAGUCUUCUGUCGGCUAAUAAAAACUGGUGAAAAGCAGCAGAAGGAGUUUCCUUCAAUGCUUCUACACUAGGAGGAGGAGGUGGUUUAGUGAGUCCCACCACUCCCUUUGUGAUCCUAAGGAGAGGUUUAGCUAAGCAGGAAUAAUGCAUAGCUAAGCAGCCCUGGUCAAGAUGUGGUAUGAUCCAUCAUCAUUGCCUGUGCUCCAUUCUCUGUUGCAAGACAGUGUGAGAAAUUGUAAGAAAUGCAUGGCUGGUUGUGGUGGCACACACGAUAGGAUUUGCUGAAGGAGGCACAAGCAGGAGGAUCACGAGUUUGAGGCCAGCCUGGGCUACGCAUUUGUCAGCUUGAUUGGAAGGUCUGUCUUUGCUGUCCAUCUCUCUUGAAAAAAAAAAGAAAUGCAUGAAAUCUCCUCUUGAAAGAUAGAUUUCACCUCAAGUUGGCAGCAGCCUUCAGACUUUUCCUUCUCCCAGCAUGAGAUUUCCAGGUAAAAUCCAAGUCCUUAGGGAACAUUGUUUUAAUACCCUCACAGCCACAGCGGGGGUUGGGGGGGUGUGCACAAGUGACUCUUGUAAAACAUCUCCAUUCUUAUCAAGAUGCUUAUACCAUGAUAUUCAAAUGAGAGAAAUCCAGCCAUAGGCCAAGAGAAGAGAGGAGGGAAAGAAGUCCAUGAUUUUUCUCAAUCCCUGAAGGGCUUAAGAACACAUUACUACCAAACAUUUUCUCCUACAUAGACCCCAGAGCAGUGGUUUUGAACCGUCUUAAUGCUGCGACCCUUUAAAACAAUUCUUCAUGUUGUGGUGGCCUCCAGCCACAAAGUUAUUUCUUUGUUCCUCCCUCUCUU
Molecule: long non-coding RNA, 1547 nt
Organism: Mesocricetus auratus (golden hamster)
Lineage: Eukaryota; Metazoa; Chordata; Mammalia; Rodentia; Cricetidae
Exons: 6
Source: RefSeq, a predicted model, not a curated record